Molecule: long non-coding RNA, 2262 nt
Filed under: Amborella trichopoda
Lineage: Eukaryota; Viridiplantae; Streptophyta; Magnoliopsida; Amborellales; Amborellaceae
Description: long non-coding RNA (ATRI_LNC004632)
Source: RNAcentral
CAAAAUUCUUCCACUCGUACAAGCACAAUCAUUUCAAAGCACAUUUCUUGUCACUCCCGCUUAUCAUAGCGUUUUAUAGCUGCUUGUAAAUCACUUAUUAGGUCCAUUUAUUGGAUGAGGCCAAGAGAAUGCAUGAUGGCCUUCUCAAGAACAUUGCAUGAUGAGAAAAGGGGUUGAGGUUGCAGUGGUAACAUCUCUAUACGCAGUUACCAUAUCAUGGUAUCCAUUCCUACUGCUGACACUUCCAAUUUAAGAUCUUCAAAAUAUAACUCUCUAAUCUAUUGAAAAACGGGCAGGGGUUUGUCUUCCCCACUUACUUACCCAAAAAAAAAAAAAGAACACUAGAUGAUGCCUAACUUCAAUUUACAUUAAUUUUAGGCUGAACACCCUUCAUAACAUAACAGAGUUUUCAGUGUGAUAGCCUCUUAUAAAAUUUGGCCUAACAUCCAAUCCAUAGGGAAUUUAGUCAUGGUCCCAGAACCAAUUUGAAAAUAGACUUACUCAUUCUUCAUUUAAAAGUAGUUUGGCCUCAAUCAAAGAGAUAUUGGUAAGUGAACAACUUUUUAUAAAACAUAUGACAGUUUUGAAAACUUCACUGCAACCACAACAAGGACAUCUUUAUAUAAAAAGGAGCGUAACUCCUAAAUCAUAGAGAAUUACAAAUUGUUCCAAAUUAAGUUUUGAAUUAGAAACACUUAUAUUUCAUUUAAAAGUAGUUUGAACUCAUUUGGACACCAUUUGGUCAGUAAACAGUCCAUUACAAAAACAUGUAUAGUUUCUGAAAAUUCACUGCAACCACUGCAACCACCACAGUGAUACCUUCAUACAAAAAGGGGCAUAUUUUCCAAACCAUGAGGAAUUUUAACAUGGUCCCAAUUUUAAUUAUAUAUAUCCAUAUUUCAUUUAAAGGUUGUUUGAACUCAUUUGGACAUCAUUUGCUCAGUAAAACAUUUAAUAUAAUAUAAGCAAUAGUUUUGGAAAUUCACUGCAACUUAUAACAGUGACAUAUGAAUGAAAACAGGGGUAUAAUUCUCAAAACAUAAGGAAUUUCGUCCUGAGUACAAAAUAAUUUUUGAAGUAGACUCACUCAUAUUUCUUUAGAAACUAGCUUGGGCUCAUUUGGACAUGAUUUGAUCGAUGGAAAAUUAACUACAAAAACAUGCACAGUUCCUGGAAUUUCAUUUCCAAUUUUUGACAUACUUCAAAGAAUGAAGUAUAACUUCCAAAAAAAAUAGGCAUUAAUACAAGGUCAUUUUCAUAUUAAGCUAGAUUCAAAAGGGUAUAGUUCCAUCAAUUUUUAUAAUCAUCAGAAAUAUAUUCAAUGCUCAAUCUAUCAUGCAAAUUCCUGGAAAAUCAGGGCUUGUUCUAAUAUAAAUUUUGCAGCGUACAACCACAUGCAUAUGACAAAUUGCAUCAAUAAUCGAGCUUAAACUUCAUGAUUUGUAUAUUCAUGCUCAUAUUAGUCACACACACAUAAUUUUUCUUGAAUUUUAUACUUCAAUGAACUAACCAAAAACAUGUAUGACAAAGCAUAGAAGCAUAGAAAACGAAUCUACUUACAUGCACCAAGGGUUCCAAGUUCCCUACACAGUUUUUCUCCAAGGUCAAGCUUUCAAUGGAGGGUCUCAAGCUUGAGGCUCUAAAGGCUUAAAGGGGGAAAACGUGGCCGAGAGAGAGCAAACUCUUGAGAGGGGUAUGAAGGGGUGAAUAAAUAGGAAAAGGAAGGGGUAGCAUGCAAACAACAAGUGGAAUCAAAGAGCCUCCACAUGGCACACACUGCAACAAGCAAGGGAUAAGUGGUUCAUAACAUGAGAGAAAAGAAGUCUCCUGAACUACCCUAUACAGCUGCGCCCGACGGCCCACAUCGCACACUGCAGCUCACACCCACAUCGUGCAUGGCAGCGGUCAUCCACAUCGCGCACAGCAGCAUCGCGCUCGGCAGCAUUCUCGCACGGCGGUGACUUACCCGCACGAUAGCUGAUCCCUUCACACACGGCGAUUGAGCGCUUCAUGCACGGCGGCUGAUUGCUUCACGCACGGUGGCUUCACUCUCUCACUGCUGCGCAAGGUGACCUCACUCUCUCUCCUCAUCACGCAUAACAGUAAAGCUUGCACGCAGGACAACUAUCCUCUUCCUCUUCGUUGCUCUCUUACCGCUGCGUGCGUUCUCUGCCGCGCGUGUUCACUCUCCUCUUCUGCUUUUUGCUGUCGUACACGGCGGUACCUCAUUGGCGCGCACUGCUAUCCACUUAUAGUCGCGCA